This 300-nucleotide ribosomal RNA is filed under the name uncultured Smithella sp. RNAcentral's name for it is "bacterial SSU rRNA". It matches the Rfam family "Bacterial small subunit ribosomal RNA", at positions 1080 to 1382 of the family's 1533-position model. Lineage: Bacteria; Pseudomonadati; Thermodesulfobacteriota; Syntrophia; Syntrophales; Smithellaceae. The record is from RNAcentral.
UUAAGUCCCGCAACGAGCGCAACCCCUAUCUUAAUUGCCAUCAUUCAGUUGGGCACUUUAGAGAGACUGCCGGUGUUAAGCCGGAGGAAGGUGGGGAUGACGUCAAGUCCUCAUGGCCUUUAUGUCUAGGGCUACACACGUGCUACAAUGGGUGGUACAAAGAGCAGCUAACUCGCGAGAGUAUGCAAAUCGCAGAAAGCCGGCCUUAGUUCGGAUUGGAGUCUGAAACUCGACUCCAUGAAGGUGGAAUCGCUAGUAAUCGCGCAUCAGCAUGGCGCGGUGAAUACGUUCCCGGGCCUU